RNAcentral lists this ribosomal RNA (446 nucleotides) under Eoperipatus sp. DNA103566. RNAcentral describes it as "partial 16S ribosomal RNA". It matches the Rfam family "Bacterial large subunit ribosomal RNA", at positions 1824 to 2600 of the family's 2925-position model. Lineage: Eukaryota; Metazoa; Onychophora; Udeonychophora; Euonychophora; Peripatidae. The record is from RNAcentral.
UUCCUUUUGAAAAUGUAAAAGGUAAGGCCUGCUCAAUGGUAUUAAAUAGCUGCAGUAUUUUGACUGUACAAAGGUAGCGUAAUCAUUUGUCUUAUAAAUUAAGACUAGUAUGAAUGGUUUAAUGAGAAUUUAACUGUCUUAAGUGUAAUGAUAGAAUUAGUCUUUUUAGUGAAGAGACUAAAACGAUGAAGUAAGACGAGAAGACCCUAUAAAGCUUAAAGAGUUUUUUAUUGGGGUAAUAAAAGAGGAAAAUUUCUUUUUAAAAAAUGUAUGAUAAUAGGUGAACAAGUAUUAUUGAUAUGAGAUAAGUUACUUUAGGGGUAACAGCAUAAUCAAUUUUGAGAGUUCUUAUCGACAAAUUGGGUUAUGACCUCGAUGUUGGUUUAGAGAAAUUUUUUGAUGAAGAAGAUAAAGAAAUAAGUCUGUUCGACUUUUAAAUCUCUACA